RNAcentral lists this ribosomal RNA (253 nucleotides) under uncultured bacterium. RNAcentral describes it as "partial 16S ribosomal RNA". It matches the Rfam family "Bacterial small subunit ribosomal RNA", at positions 524 to 776 of the family's 1533-position model. The record is from RNAcentral.
UACGUAGGGGGCAAGCGUUGUCCGGAAUCAUUGGGCGUAAAGCGCGUGUAGGCGGUCCGGUAAGUCGGCUGUGAAAGUCGGGGGCUCAACCCUUGGAUGCCGGUGGAUACUGUCGGACUUGAGUACGGAAGAGGCGAGUGGAAUUCCUGGUGUAGCGGUGAAAUGCGCAGAUAUCAGGAGGAACACCAAUGGCGAAGGCAGCUCGCUGGGACGUUACUGACGCUGAGACGCGAAAGCGUGGGGAGCAAACAGG